AUCCAGCUGACGAGUCCCAAACAGGAUGAAAUGCACAUUAAACUGGAU
Schistosoma mansoni is the source of this 48-nucleotide non-coding RNA. The record is from Rfam. Lineage: Eukaryota; Metazoa; Platyhelminthes; Trematoda; Strigeidida; Schistosomatidae.